AACGAACGAUGGCGGCAGGCUUAACACAUGCAAGUCGAACGCCCCGCAAGGGGAGUGGCAGACGGGUGAGUAACGCGUGGGAAUCUACCUAGUGCUACGGAACAACAGAGGGAAACUUCUGCUAAUACCGUAUACGCCCUAUGGGGGAAAGAUUUAUCCGAAUUAGAUGAGCCCGCGUAAGAUUAGCUAGUUGGUGGGGUAAUGGCUCACCAAGGCCACGAUCUUUAGCUGGUCUGAGAGGAGGAUCAGCCACACUGGGUAUGUGACCCGGCCGAGACUCCAACGGGAGGCAGCAGUGGGGAAUAUUGGACAAUGGGCGCAAGCCUGAUCCAGCCAUGCCGCGUGAGUGAUGAAGGCCUUAGGGUUGUAAAGCUCUUUCAGUGGGGAAGAUAGUGACGGUACCCACAGAAGAAGCCCCGGCUAACUUCGUGCCAGCCGCCGCCGUAA
RNAcentral lists this ribosomal RNA (447 nucleotides) under uncultured bacterium. Its description in RNAcentral is "partial 16S ribosomal RNA". It matches the Rfam family "Bacterial small subunit ribosomal RNA", at positions 29 to 523 of the family's 1533-position model. The record is from RNAcentral.